This 256-nucleotide ribosomal RNA is filed under the name uncultured bacterium. RNAcentral describes it as "partial 16S ribosomal RNA". It matches the Rfam family "Bacterial small subunit ribosomal RNA", at positions 524 to 776 of the family's 1533-position model. The record is from RNAcentral.
UACGGGGGGGAGCAAACGUUGUUCGGAAUCACUGGGCGUAAAGGGCGUGUAGGCGGCUGGAUAAGUGGGAUGUUAAAUCCCCCGGCUCAACCGGGGACCUGCAUCUCAUACUGUUCAGCUCGAGCACAUCAGAGGAGACUGGAAUUCCCCGGUGUAGCGGUGAAAUGCGUAGAUAUCGGGGAGGAACACCAGUGGCGAAGGCGAGUCUCUGGGAUGAUGCUGACGCUGAGGCGCGAAAGCCAGGGGAGCAAACGGG